RNAcentral lists this ribosomal RNA (219 nucleotides) under uncultured bacterium. Its description in RNAcentral is "partial 16S ribosomal RNA". It matches the Rfam family "Bacterial small subunit ribosomal RNA", at positions 524 to 741 of the family's 1533-position model. The record is from RNAcentral.
CACGUAGGGUGCGAGCGUUGUCCGGAAUUAUUGGGCGUAAAGAGCUCGUAGGCGGUGUGUCGCGUCGGCCGUGAAAACCUGCAGCUUAACUGUGGGCUUGCGGUCGAUACGGGCAUCACUGGAGUUCGGCAGGGGAGACUGGAAUUCCUGGUGUAGCAGUGAAAUGCGUAGAUAUCAGGAGGAAUACCGAUGGCGAAGGCAGGUCUCUGGGCUGACACU